AGAGUUUGAUCAUGGCUCAGGAUGAACGUUGGCGGCGUGCCUUACCAAUGCGAGUCGAACGGUACGGGGAGGCUCUUCGGAGCGCCCACGACCGUGGCGUCCGGGUGCGUAACACGUAGCUAACCUACCGGUCGGUGGGGGAAAACUCCGGGAAACCGGAGGUAAUCCCGCAUAUGGUCGCCUGGUAGACAGGUGGACGAAAGCUGUGGCAGGGGAACCUGUCAUGGCGCCGGCUGAGGGGGCUGCGGCCGAUUAGCUAGUUGGUGGGGUAAUGGCUCACCAAGGCAGUGAUCGGUAGCGGGUCUGAGAGGAUGAUCCGCCACACGGGGACUGAGAUAUGGUCCCGAGCCCUACGGGGUUUAGCAUGGAGGAAUCUUGCGCAAUGGGCGAAAGCCCGACGCAGCGACGCCGCGUGGGGGAUGAAGGCCUUCGGGUUGUAAACCCCUUUUCUGGGGGACGAAAUUGACGUACCCCA
RNAcentral lists this ribosomal RNA (475 nucleotides) under uncultured bacterium. Its description in RNAcentral is "bacterial SSU rRNA". It matches the Rfam family "Bacterial small subunit ribosomal RNA", at positions 8 to 482 of the family's 1533-position model. The record is from RNAcentral.